GUGGAGAUUCAUGCUUGUGUGAAGCUCAGUGGUCAGAUUCUGUUGUUUCUUGGUAUGAAGAUGAAGGUAAGAAAAUGAAACUGAGAGAAAUGAGUACAAAAAAUUGUUUGCAGUAUUUUGUACUAUGAAGUCAUAUGUUUUAUCCCAGAAAAGGUCCAUGUGGAGAAUAAAAAAAGUGGGAUAAAACUCUACUUUUAAUUCUAAAGGAAUUCUAAAAAAAAGAAAUUGUGUUAAUGACUGAAAUAUUUUAUCUAUAGUAAUUACAUGAAAUAUUUUGGAGAUUCUUAUAUCUGGAAGAUUUUUGGAAACUUGCUGGUUCCCAUUUGUUCACUUAACAAUAUACUUGUACACUUUUUAUUCUCGCUGCUCACUUUUCUUUCUCUAGUCAUGCUCUUGUGUGGUCCCUGCAGCAACAAGUAGGAGAAAAACAUAGACCUGGUGGAGAGGAAACACUUAUAAGGAAAAUAAGAAAAUACAGCUGUAAAUGAUUUUACAUCAUUUCAUAAUGGGGGAUAUUCUGAAGUCACCAGGAGCAUAAAGUACACUUACCAGAGUGAGCUGAUCAUAUUAUUUUCUGGUCCAAGUUACAGGUGCUGGCAUUUAAGCCCUGUAAAUGCCAAUAAGAAAUCUGGGUUGCAGUGGCUGAAGUCAGCUAUUAAAGUGCUUCCUCUACACAUGAAGAAUCUACUGCUUUGAAAAAAUUGUUAUCUUUGGAGUGAGUGGAUAUGUGAACAGCACAACUGUAGCUUAGAUGUAAAAUGCUUUUAUCUAAAAAUAAAAAUAUAGCUUCCAGCCAGCUGUUUGCCUACUGGAGCUUGGCUCUGAUUGGAAUGCUAGCAAAAAGGUGGAGUUCUUGUGAAUUUACUACUGUCUCUCUGCUUGGGAGAUUUGCCAGCUGCAAAGGAAAUAAGAAAUACUCUAUAAACUCCAGUUUGGGGAUGGAGCAUCGAGAGGGCUAACUCAUCAGUAUGUAAGCAAUUCAAACUAAUAAAUACUGCAGGCUCUCUAGGCA
Molecule: long non-coding RNA, 1012 nt
Organism: Anser cygnoides (Swan goose)
Lineage: Eukaryota; Metazoa; Chordata; Aves; Anseriformes; Anatidae
Source: Ensembl